This 485-nucleotide ribosomal RNA is filed under the name uncultured bacterium. Its description in RNAcentral is "SSU rRNA". It matches the Rfam family "Bacterial small subunit ribosomal RNA", at positions 26 to 523 of the family's 1533-position model. The record is from RNAcentral.
AGGACGAACGCUGGCGGCGUGCCUAACACAUGCAAGUCGAACGAGGUUAAUCCGGUAGCAAUACUGGUGACUGCCUAGUGGCGAACGGGUGAGUAGCACGUGAGCAACCUGCCCCGAAGACCGGGACAACACCGGGAAACCGGUGCUAAUACCGGAUACCCCCACCUAAUCGCAUGAUCUGGUGAGGAAAUGGAUUCCGCUUCGGGAGGGCUCGCGGCCUAUCAGCUAGUUGGUGAGGUAACGGCUCACCAAGGCUUCGACGGGUAGCUGGUCUGAGAGGACGAUCAGCCACACUGGGACUGAGACACGGCCCAGACUCCUACGGGAGGCAGCAGUGGGGAAUCUUGCACAAUGGGCGAAAGCCUGAUGCAGCAACGCCGCGUGAGGGACGAAGGCUUUCUGAGUUGUAAACCUCUUUCAGCAGGGACGAUUGUGACGGUACCUGCAGAGAAGGCCCGGCAACUACGCGCCAGCAGCCGCGGUAA